RNAcentral lists this ribosomal RNA (253 nucleotides) under uncultured bacterium. RNAcentral's name for it is "partial 16S ribosomal RNA". It matches the Rfam family "Bacterial small subunit ribosomal RNA", at positions 524 to 776 of the family's 1533-position model. The record is from RNAcentral.
UACGUAGGUGGCGAGCGUUGUCCGGAUUUACUGGGCGUAAAGGGAGCGUAGGCGGACUUUUAAGUGAGAUGUGAAAUACUCGGGCUCAAUUUGAGUGCUGCAUUUCAAACUGGAAGUCUAGAGUGCAGGAGAGGAGAAUGGAAUUCCUAGUGUAGCGGUGAAAUGCGUAGAGAUUAGGAAGAACACCAGUGGCGAAGGCGAUUCUCUGGACUGUAACUGACGCUGAGGCUCGAAAGCGUGGGGAGCAAACAGG